UACCUGCAGCUCGAGUGGUAACCGCUAUUAUUGGGCCUAAAGCGUCCGUAGCCGGUUUGGUAAAUAUCUGGGUAAAUCGUGAGGCUUAACUUCACGAAUUUCGGAUAGACUGCCAGACUUGGGAUCGGGGGAGGUCAGAGGUACUCCAGGGGUAGCGGUGAAAUGUUGUAAUCCUUGGAGGACCACCGGUAGCGAAGGCGUCUGACUAGAACGAGUCCGACGGUGAGGGACGAAGCCCUGGGGCGCAAACCGGAUUAGAUACCCGGGUAGUCCAGGGUGUAAACGAUGUGGGCUUUGUAUUGGAGGUCCCACGUGGGCGUCCAGUGCAGAAGAGAAGUUGUUAAGCCCACCGCCUGGGAAGUACGGUCGCAAGGCUGAAACUUAAAGGAAUUGGCGGGGAGCACAGCAACGGGAGGAGCGUGCGGUUUA
This 429-nucleotide ribosomal RNA is filed under the name uncultured archaeon. RNAcentral describes it as "bacterial SSU rRNA". It matches the Rfam family "Archaeal small subunit ribosomal RNA", at positions 474 to 904 of the family's 1478-position model. The record is from RNAcentral.